GCCGAGGUCGCAUAACCUGGUAGUGCGCACGCCUGGAGAGCGUGUUCCCUAACGGGAUUAUGGGUUCAAAUCCCAUCCUCGGCG
This 84-nucleotide transfer RNA is filed under the name Microcaldota archaeon. RNAcentral's name for it is "Candidatus Micrarchaeota archaeon (hot springs metagenome) tRNA-Ser". It matches the Rfam family "tRNA". From Rfam's summary of the family: Transfer RNA (tRNA) molecules are approximately 80 nucleotides in length. Their secondary structure includes four short double-helical elements and three loops (D, anti-codon, and T loops). The record is from RNAcentral. Lineage: Archaea; Nanobdellati; Microcaldota.